AUGUAUUUCAUUUAGGAAAAAACAACUUUUCGUAGAAAUGGUAUGGAAUACUUGAAACCCAAUAUUUUUAGAUCGGAAAACUCUCGUUCGCUUCAAGCGGCUUCCAAUAAUAAUACCCAAUUGUUCA
This is a long non-coding RNA of Rhagoletis zephyria (snowberry fruit fly), 127 nucleotides long. RefSeq lists it as uncharacterized. The record is from RefSeq and is a predicted model, not a curated record. NCBI's taxonomy places the organism in Eukaryota, Metazoa, Arthropoda, Insecta, Diptera, Tephritidae.